GCCCCCUUCGUCUAGUGGCCCAGGACAUCGGAUUCUCAGUCCGAGAACAGCGGUUCGACUCCGCUAGGGGGUA
Molecule: non-coding RNA, 73 nt
Organism: Planctomycetes bacterium RBG_16_64_12
Lineage: Bacteria; Pseudomonadati; Planctomycetota
Source: Rfam